ACAAUAUUAAGAAAGAGGGAAAAUAUCAGUGGAGACCCUUGGGCUAGAGGAAAAGUGAGCUCUUGCUGUAAGCCCAUAGCUGUGACUAACCUGUUCCUAAUUCCAGGCUCUCUUGCAGCUAGGGUGGUGUGUGUCUUUCUUUUGUUGUUAGUGAAUUUCCUUAGCUAUGCCUGAAUGCUACAGCUGAGCAUGGUAAAUUAUAAAGAAGUUAUUUCUCUCUCGGUCCUGGAAGCUCCGGAAUUCUUUGAGGACCUUGUACUAUGACGUAACAUGAGAGUCAGCAGUGUGUAACCUCAGGUCUCUGACUCUCCUAAAGCCACUAACACCAUCAUGGAGGCCCCAUCUUCAUGACUUCACCUCCCAAAGGCCCUACAGAGUCAUGUGGAUUAGAAGUGUAAGUGAGCGUGUUGUUUUCAUUUAAAAUACUAUGUGCACGUCAUGCUUAAGUGCAGGUGCCUGUGGAUUUCUUGGAACUGGCGUUAGAGGAGGUUGUAAGAUGCCAAAAGUGGGUGUUGAGAAUUGAAUUGGGGCUCUUCUGUAAGAGCAAUAGACACUCUUAACUGUUGAGCCAUCUCUCCAGUUCCGAAGUGUGUUUUUAAAAUCGUAAAUGCAGCAUGAAGUCCACAGGAAAAAGUUAAAAUGAAAGGAAAGACACCUCUUGUUCCCUUAGUUCCAUCUCUACAGAGUAGCCACAAAUAAUUGUUUGAAGAGGAGCACCCAGGCCUUCCUGUGUCCUCCAAGGUUGGUCCCCAGUGUGCAUGCUUGACAAGACCAUGAUUCUCUCAUCCUGAGAGCUCAUCUUCUUCCCUCCAAGCAUGGAUGGGCAGAUAACAAAAGGAAAACAAGGGGAGCUCAUUCACCCCACAAGAGUAACAACUUAAACGCGGAAGCAGGAAAGUUCAAGCAGGAAAGUAAAAGAUCUAAAACCCUCAGCAGCAGCAGGAUGUCAACCAAGAAGAUGCUGGUAUCUUAGCUCCAUUUUCCCAGGAUGCUUUGGGGGCACACCCGGAAGUCAGAAUGCAGAUCACAGACUAGACGGAGCAGCAGAUCUCCUGUCAGUUGGGUCUUGAAGGCCGGAGACAGCUGCAGGAACAGAUUCCCAUCUGCAGCCAAACUGAAGUCUGGGAGGCUGCGGCAGGAACAAGUUCACCUCCCUGAAGUUGCUCUUGAGCCUUAGAGGCUGGAGCAGUGGAAGCCUGAGUUCCCUCAUUUGCCUAGGACAGGUCACCUUGUGAUGCCAUGUGCUGCGGUAGGCUGUAGGGAGGGAGUAGUGUGCUGUUGGGACUUCGUCUCCAAUACUGUAAGGACUGGGCUACGGAAUCAAAGCGGCUGCUGUGACUCAGGCGUUUCCCAUUGCCCAAUUCUCGCAUCCUCUCCUCUCAGCGCCCGAGCUUUUCAUGUCCUAUUUGAAACUGAUAGGAAACCCUAGCAUUGUUUCACAACAUGGAUAUUAGCGCCGAUGAAGGAAGCGCUCCAUCAGAUAAUCGGCCUGCAGUGAGCUGGCUUCCAGCACCAGCUGCCCAGACCCAUUUCUCCGCUUCCCAGGACCCCAGACCCAGUAUGGCUCUGACCCAACAGUUAGGGGCUUGUGGCCAGGGGGGCCACAGCAGCCUGGCUCCUCCCACUUUCCACUCCACUCCGGUUGGAAGGAGAGAGGGGGUGGGCAGGGAGGCUUUUCUCCUUCCAGGUCUCUGAUAGGCAAGGGUCUCCAUCACCUUUAGACAUUUGAUGGCCUUGCUCCCUUCCCCAGCACUUUUCCAAGUGAUCCUCCAUAUCCUGGGGUUCCCUAAGCUUGGAGUCCCCUCUCUCCUUGCAGUUCCCAUUGAUGUGGGUUCCCAGCCUGUUCUUGUGUAAGAUUUCACCUGAACAAAGGGUUCUGCUGCUAAACACCUUUGGAACCGCUCAGAGCCAGGCAAGAGCACUUGCACACUCUCUAGGACUGACGCUUUAUUUUCUAGUUAGGUAUUGGCAGUGCUUUGGUAGAAAUGUAACUCUAUCCCUGGACAUGGCCUGAGCAAGCAGGCACUGCAUAAACACCCUCAGGCGGAGCAGAUGGUUGUCAGCCUCUUCCUGAGUUACAGAUGAGGACCUGGGUGUCAGAGAGGGUAUACAAUUUUCUCAGGCUCACACAGCAGUUUCUAAAGACAGGCUGCAGUCUGUGGCUAAGUUUUCCAAAGAUGUCAAUCAUAUGGGACUGGCUCUAGGACUGGGAAUGGGGGGUGGUAGAAGGAAAAACAGCAGAGGGGCUUCCUAUGGUGCCACUCUGAAUUCUGGUAGCAAGCGAUUUCUGCUCAACAGUUUCUGUUCCAGUUUUUCUUUCUUUU
This 2324-nucleotide small RNA is filed under the name Rattus norvegicus (Norway rat). Its description in RNAcentral is "uncharacterized LOC102554068". Lineage: Eukaryota; Metazoa; Chordata; Mammalia; Rodentia; Muridae. The record is from RNAcentral.